Molecule: long non-coding RNA, 700 nt
Filed under: Equus caballus (horse)
Lineage: Eukaryota; Metazoa; Chordata; Mammalia; Perissodactyla; Equidae
Description: lncRNA (ENSECAG00000051465.1)
Source: RNAcentral
CCUACCCAAGGUCAGCCAGCGUGGAACAGGAGCUGGGAUUUGAACUCAAGCGAAAUGAACCGUGCUUUUUAUCCCCCAUGGCUACUGCCUCUCCAUUGCUGAAAAACGCUCACCAUGCUGCAAGAACCUUCCUCUCCUAGAUUCCUAGUAGAGGUGACAGCACCCUCCACGCCUGCCAAGUCCUUUCUGACCUCCCAGGAAUUUACUUCACUCUGCAGUCAUCCUUCCCACUCGCCCGAACUCCCACCUGUCGGUAUUCUCUAGGGGUCGUGAACGCCUUUGGAUUGCUUAGGCUGCUGAGGCAGGAAUGGGGUUUGGUGGAGCGAGAGAGGCAGCAGGCAGACCAGGCCGGAGUCACGUGGUCGGACAGACGGGAGAGGAUGGCGAUCAGGGAAACCUGAGUGCCUGUUCUCAUGAAGACUGCCAGCCCAGUCGGUUCUCCGAGGACCUGAAAAACCAGACCUCAAAGGAACAUUCUGCUUUGCCAACAUUCCCUGUGUCGCAGUGUUUGCUGACUUCACAAACACAUCUAGAUGAAAAUAUGAAAAGCCCUGUAAAAGGGUAAACGUGUGAAAUAAGGACCCUCUGGGAUCUCAAGGAAUUUACAGAUCCUUGAAUUUUAUCACUGUGCUUAUUUUUUAAUUAAAGACAAUAACUGCUCCUUACAGGUACUUAUUGACAAAUAAAAACGAUGAUGUCA